AAGUCGUAACAAGGUUUCAUUCGAACAGCAUCCUUCCGGGGCGCUUGCCGAAGCCUAUGCAACCCUCACGGGGUCCGCGACUAUAAACACAGGAUGCAAGUCGCGAUGGCGGCAACAUAAUCGAAUUGCGGGGAUCUCCUAAAGCCAAGCAGUACCAACACCGUCCAGAAAUGUAGGGUGGGCCAGCGUUAAUCCCGCUGGAGGUUAGAAUCUGCUAGGAUGCCACAAUGGAUGAUCCGCAGCGAAGCCCCUAACGGCGCCAGCCUACGGGGAACGUUCACAGACUAAGUGGUUGUGGGUAGGCUCGUCCUGCUUAAGAUAUAGUCGGGCCCUGUAGGAAACUACAGGGGCUAGCCGUUCCGUAGGUGAACCUGCGGAAGGAUCAUUACAGAGUUCAUGCCCUUCGGGGUAGACCUCCCACCCUUGUGGUAUCAUUAUAGAAUGUUGCUUUGGCGGGCCGCGCCUCGUGCGCCUAGAUUCGCGUCUAGCGUGCCCACCAGAGGACCCCUAAACUCUGAAUGUUAGUGUCGUCUGAGUACUAUUAAAUAGUUAAAA
RNAcentral lists this unclassified non-coding RNA (555 nucleotides) under plant metagenome. Its description in RNAcentral is "partial contains small subunit ribosomal RNA and internal transcribed spacer 1". The stretch from base 22 to 348 matches the Rfam family "Group I catalytic intron". From Rfam's summary of the family: Group I catalytic introns are large self-splicing ribozymes. They catalyse their own excision from mRNA, tRNA and rRNA precursors in a wide range of organisms. The record is from RNAcentral.